Molecule: ribosomal RNA, 363 nt
Filed under: uncultured bacterium
Lineage: Bacteria
Description: bacterial SSU rRNA
Rfam family: Bacterial small subunit ribosomal RNA
Source: RNAcentral
AAGCCCCGAAAGGGGUAAGUAGAGUGGCAAACGGGUGAGUAACACGUGGGUGACCUGCCUUCGAGCGGGGGAUAACGUCCCGAAAGGGACGCUAAUACCGCAUAACAUCCUGCCUUUGAAGAGGUGGAGAUCAAAGCUGGGGAUCGCAAGACCCGGCACUUGAAGAGGGGCCCGCGUCUGAUUAGCUAGUUGGUGGGGUAAUGGCCUACCAAGGCAACGAUCAGUAUCCGGCUUGAGAGGGCGGACGGACACACUGGGACUGAGACACGGCCCAGACUCCUACGGGAGGCAGCAGUGGGGAAUUGUUCGCAAUGGGCGCAAGCCUGACGACGCAACGCCGCGUGGAGGAUGAAGAUUUUCGGA